Molecule: microRNA precursor, 76 nt
Filed under: Petromyzon marinus (sea lamprey)
Lineage: Eukaryota; Metazoa; Chordata; Hyperoartia; Petromyzontiformes; Petromyzontidae
Description: miRNA (ENSPMAG00000010455.1)
Rfam family: mir-130 microRNA precursor family (bases 1-68)
About the family: The hairpin precursors (represented here) are predicted based on base pairing and cross-species conservation -- their extents are not known. In this case the mature sequence is excised from the 3' arm of the hairpin.
Source: RNAcentral
UCCUUUUUAUAUUGUGCUACUGUGUCCUCUGCGAAGUAGUGCAAUGUGAAAAGGGCAUUGGGGAGUCGCGCCUUUC